AAACAUCUUUUCUUGUUAGUUUCUGAAGUAUGGCCUGCCCGCUGACGUAUAUUUGAGUUGAAGGGCCGCGGUAUUCUGACCGUGCAAAGGUAGCAUAGUCAUUAGUUCUUUAAUUGUGAUCUGGUAUGAAUGGCUUGACGAGACAUGGGCUGUCUUGAGUGUGAAUUUAUUGUUGAAUUUGGAGUUUAAGUUAAAAUUCUUAGAUGUUUUUAUGGGACGAGAAGACCCUAUAGAGUUUGACACGAUUUGCGUAUUUCUUAUUGUUUGUUUUAAAAUUUUGCGUGUCUUGUGUUUUGUUGGGGUGAUGGGAGGAAUUUAUUUAACUCCUCUUUUUAUGCGAUAUAUUGAUUUGUAUUCGUUUUGAUCCAUUUAUUUUGAUUGUAAGAUUAAAUUACCUUAGGGAUAACAGCGUUAUCUUCCCUGAGAGUUCUUAUUGGCGGGGGGGUUUGCGACCUCGAUGUUGGAUUAAGGUUAAUUUUUGGUGUAGGAGC
Molecule: ribosomal RNA, 491 nt
Filed under: Odontotermes sarawakensis
Lineage: Eukaryota; Metazoa; Arthropoda; Insecta; Blattodea; Termitidae
Description: partial 16S ribosomal RNA
Rfam family: Bacterial large subunit ribosomal RNA
Source: RNAcentral